CGGGAAGGCUGUGGGAAGGGAAUUUAGCAGGGAAGGAAGGAGGGAAAGAUGAAGCAGAGUUGUUUAUUGGGGGUGUGGAAUCCAUGUAAUCCAGGGAUUUGUGAAUACAGAAGGAUUGGGAGUUCCUGGGAAUGGGACAGUUGCUUUCAAGAGCUCCGAGGAGUGUUGGAAGGAGCCAGCAGGGAAUCUUCUGCCCCUUCUGGAGGGAAACAUCUUCGCUUUUCCUGUUGGUUCCCCGCUCUGUCUUUGACCUCUUGGCCUCGCGUGUAUCCGCAGUAA
Molecule: long non-coding RNA, 279 nt
Filed under: Cyanistes caeruleus (blue tit)
Lineage: Eukaryota; Metazoa; Chordata; Aves; Passeriformes; Paridae
Description: lncRNA (ENSCCEG00000005715.1)
Source: RNAcentral